CCUUCGAUAGCUCAGUUGGUAGAGCGGAGGACUGUAGGUGUGUACUUGUGGUCAUCCUUAGGUCGCUGGUUCGAAUCCGGCUCGAAGGA
Non-coding RNA from Ictidomys tridecemlineatus (thirteen-lined ground squirrel), 89 nucleotides. NCBI's taxonomy places the organism in Eukaryota, Metazoa, Chordata, Mammalia, Rodentia, Sciuridae. The record is from Rfam.